Molecule: transfer RNA, 76 nt
Filed under: Desulfovibrio sp.
Lineage: Bacteria; Pseudomonadati; Thermodesulfobacteriota; Desulfovibrionia; Desulfovibrionales; Desulfovibrionaceae
Also listed under: 11 other names
Description: tRNA-Met
Rfam family: tRNA
About the family: Transfer RNA (tRNA) molecules are approximately 80 nucleotides in length. Their secondary structure includes four short double-helical elements and three loops (D, anti-codon, and T loops).
Source: RNAcentral
GGGCCAAUAGCUCAGUUGGCAGAGCCCCCGGCUCAUAACCGGAUGGUCCCAGGUUCGAAUCCUGGUUGGCCCACCA